Molecule: long non-coding RNA, 577 nt
Organism: Carassius carassius (crucian carp)
Lineage: Eukaryota; Metazoa; Chordata; Actinopteri; Cypriniformes; Cyprinidae
Exons: 3
Source: RefSeq, a predicted model, not a curated record
CGUUAUGUGCACAUUACAGAUAUACAGCGAAGCAUAAUGCACUUUUCACAAACAGUAAACAAACGUAUCACGAGGAACAUUUGAGUCGAGACCUUAUUAUUAUGACGUCUUGUUGCCCUUUUGGUGUUAAGGAUGGGUGGAGAAAAUAAGAUUGACAGGCUACUGUGCCAAGACUGUAAGAGAUUCAAACUUUCUUAUCUGGUUAACCAUUCAAAAUGCUUGACAUAACACCUCUUUGCAUCAGCCACUGACUUUUAACUGCACGCAAAAUGCACAUCUGGAACCAACCAUCUGUCUCCAUAUUUUCUCCGAAAAGCAGUGCUGAGACGACAACUGCCAGAAACUUCUGCCAUGCUGCUUGAAUGUCUGGAGUGAAGGCACGACCGAGCUGGGAAGCCACAACAAUGGUCACGCAAUCACCGAGGAGCUUUGAGGAGAAAAUUACAAGGUUCAAAUUCAAAAGCGAAGACCCACCCUGAAGUUGUCCGGAUCCACGUGAAGCUUCUCGGAGUGCAACAUGCUCAAGGGCGCAUAGGUGUUCUUGAUGUCAUCCAUGCUCUGGACCGCUCUUCCGAGU